AGCGAACGCUGGCGGCAGGCUUAACACAUGCAAGUCGAGCGGGCAUAGCAAUAUGUCAGCGGCAGACGGGUGAGUAACGCGUGGGAACGUACCUUUUGGUUCGGAACAACACAGGGAAACUUGUGCUAAUACCGGAUAAGCCCUUACGGGGAAAGAUUUAUCGCCGAAAGAUCGGCCCGCGUCUGAUUAGCUAGUUGGUGAGGUAAUGGCUCACCAAGGCGACGAUCAGUAGCUGGUCUGAGAGGAUGAUCAGCCACAUUGGGACUGAGACACGGCCCAAACUCCUACGGGAGGCAGCAGUGGGGAAUAUUGGACAAUGGGCGCAAGCCUGAUCCAGCCAUGCCGCGUGAGUGAUGAAGGCCCUAGGGUUGUAAAGCUCUUUUGUGCGGGAAGAUAAGGACGGUACCGCAAGAAUAAACCCCGGCUAACUUCGU
Molecule: ribosomal RNA, 434 nt
Filed under: uncultured bacterium
Lineage: Bacteria
Description: partial 16S ribosomal RNA
Rfam family: Bacterial small subunit ribosomal RNA
Source: RNAcentral